UGAGCCUUUAGCAGUGCCCCUCACCACUGGGCUAGCCUGGGCUGCCUUUUGCUCCCUUGUCACUGCAGUCACCCUCCUGAGAAAGCUGAAAAGAAGUUUCAAAACCACAGUCUCCCUGGCAGGCUUGUGGCUGCUUGCUGCUUUCAACCACCCCUUCCUGUUGGGGUGUCAUGUGGGUGGCCUGGCCCUUUAAGGCUUGGCUUACACUGUUAGAGAAAGGCUGCCGGCUGCAGAAAGCCAAGUCCAGGCAGAGAAAAGCUGUGAACAGGAGCCGGCAGUCCACAGAAGGCCUGUUACAUGCUCUCCUCUCCCAUGAUCCCCUGCAAAUAACUCAUGUCGCGGGUGAGCAGAGGGAUUGGCUGUAUUGUAUCUGUCUCUACUGUUCUGUCUAUCUGUGUCUCUCCUUGGGAGUCCCACCCAUCUUUCAAGUUCAGAACUAGCAUUGCACCUAUCACCUGUACCACACAUGAAUGACUUGGUCUUCUCAAAGACUGGCAUCCUCUUUCGGGAAAUGUGCAAAAGGGAGAAGUUGUCUAGGACGUAAACAAGAGAGACCUAAAGGAAAUUCAGGCUGAGCUUUGAGUUCUUGCCGGGUGCUGGCAUCAGUCACCUCCACGGCCAGGAGAGGAGGCAGGACCAUGUGGCUGUUCCCUGCUCUGCUCCUCUUCCUCCCAGGCUGCUCCACUGCUCAGGAUCCAAUCACAGGGCCAAACA
Peromyscus maniculatus bairdii (prairie deer mouse) is the source of this 714-nucleotide non-coding RNA. NCBI's taxonomy places the organism in Eukaryota, Metazoa, Chordata, Mammalia, Rodentia, Cricetidae. The record is from RefSeq and is a predicted model, not a curated record.